This 19-nucleotide ribosomal RNA is filed under the name Vanilla hirsuta. Its description in RNAcentral is "partial 26S ribosomal RNA". The record is from RNAcentral. Lineage: Eukaryota; Viridiplantae; Streptophyta; Magnoliopsida; Asparagales; Orchidaceae.
UGUUAAGUGAGGUUCCCCC